Molecule: unclassified non-coding RNA, 212 nt
Filed under: soil metagenome
Description: partial internal transcribed spacer 1
Source: RNAcentral
GGUGUAUGUCAAUGAGCCUGCAAGCAAUUCAUAAAAAUCAGCCGUUAGUACAUUGCAUUACAAAUUAUGUCGUCGCAAAUUUUACAGCGAAUGGUUUGCUUGCGGUAGGUGCCUCACCGGUAAUGGCGGAUGCGAUCGAAGAAGCGGGAGAAAUGGCUGCUCAGUCAAGUGCAUUACUUUUAAAUUUGGGUACUUUGAAUGAACGGACAGUA